AGUUAAUGGAAGCAGGCCAGGGACAUAGCUCAGUGACACCAGGCCUGCCUGGCAAGUGCAAGGUCCUAAGUUCAAUUCCCAGUACCAAAAGAAAAAAGUUAAUGGGAGGACCUCCAGGCUUGCCCACCAGCCUCCAGCUUGGCCACACGGGCAUCUGCAAAAACAGCCCCCCACCGCCACCUCUUGGCUGUACAGUUAUUUGGAUCCACAUGACAGGCACAGGGGAGCAUAAAGGCCAUUGUCCUGAGCUGCAGAAGUGAAAAACAGAGAGAGGGCCUCUCGCAGACUCCCUGAUGAAAACUGAAGCCCACUGGAAAAGUGAAGAGAAUCUGCAAUAAAGCCACACCAGACCACCGUACUUGGAGCAUCUCAGAGUCCGUCGCCUCUGCCAACUCCGAGCUAGCCGGCCCACCAUCCGCUUCACACCUGAAGGAGCCUGCAGGCUGACUCCGCCACUUUCGCAUGCUCCGUUACCCUGGGCUCUUCGACAGGCCAGCUCUCAGGGCCAACCUGGGCUCCGACUCCGAGAGCCGGGCCUAGACCCUUGGCGGCCUCUGCUCUUCCUGGGCCAGAUAAGAGUUCUUCUACCGAGUUCUAAAAGAAGUUUGGACAACGUGGCCACAGUAUUUGGUGAGAACCCCUGGUGCCCAACAUCCGGGCCAUGGGGAGGCUGCGCCGUGUCGGCCUGGGUCCGUCCCUUUCUCCUGCGGAUGAAUUCAGCUGUUCCCUUCAUCCUCGCUAAGCGGCCUCGUUCUCCUGUGAACUGGGAUCCUCUGCCAGUGCAUCGCCUUCCCGCAGACGGGCGUCCUCCUGCGCCCAAGCCGGGACUAAGUCCCAGACGCAGACUGACAAAUUCCAGAUUCACACCCCAAACGCCCAGACAUUCCCAGCUCCAAACUGCAGUGUGCCUGUCUAUCUCUCGAGGGCGCGAACUCUCUUUCUUUGAGUGCACAUUUUUGAAAAUUCCCUCUAAU
RNAcentral lists this long non-coding RNA (974 nucleotides) under Heterocephalus glaber (naked mole-rat). Its description in RNAcentral is "lncRNA (ENSHGLG00100044478.1)". The record is from RNAcentral. Lineage: Eukaryota; Metazoa; Chordata; Mammalia; Rodentia; Bathyergidae.